Molecule: ribosomal RNA, 481 nt
Filed under: uncultured bacterium
Lineage: Bacteria
Description: partial 16S ribosomal RNA
Rfam family: Bacterial small subunit ribosomal RNA
Source: RNAcentral
AUUGAACGCUGGCGGCAUGCCUUACACAUGCAAGUCGAACGGUAACAGGUCUUCGGAUGCUGACGAGUGGCGAACGGGUGAGUAAUACAUCGGAACGUGCCCGAUCGUGGGGGAUAACGAGGCGAAAGCUUUGCUAAUACCGCAUACGAUCUACGGAUGAAAGCGGGGGAUCUUCGGACCUCGCGCGGACGGAGCGGCCGAUGGCAGAUUAGGUAGUUGGUGGGAUAAAAGCUUACCAAGCCGACGAUCUGUAGCUGGUCUGAGAGGAUGAUCAGCCACAUGGGGACUGAGACACGGCCCAACCUCCUACGGGAGGCAGCAGGGGGGAAUUUUGGACAAGGGGCGAAAGCCUGAUCCAGCCAUGCCGCGUGAAGGAUGAAGGCCUUCGGGUUGUAAACUGCUUUUGUACGGAACGAAAAGCCUCUUUCUAAUAAAGAGGGGUCAUGACGGUACCGUAAGAAUAAGCACCGGCUAACUACGU